AACGAACGCUGGCGGCAUGCCUAACACAUGCAAGUCGAACGAGACCAAGGCUUCGGCCUGAAGUCUAGUGGCGCACGGGUGCGUAACGCGUGGGAAUCUACCCUUGGGUUCGGAAUAACAGUUAGAAAUGACUGCUAAUACCGGAUGAUGACGUAAGUCCAAAGAUUUAUCGCCCAGGGAUGAGCCCGCGUAAGAUUAGCUUGUUGGUGAGGUAAAGGCUCACCAAGGCGACGAUCUUUAGCUGGUCUGAGAGGAUGAUCAGCCACACUGGGACUGAGACACGGCCCAGACUCCUACGGGAGGCAGCAGUGGGGAAUAAUUGGACAAAUGGGCGAAAGCCUGAUCCAGCAAUGCCGCGUGAGUGAUGAAGGCCUUAGGGUU
This 381-nucleotide ribosomal RNA is filed under the name uncultured bacterium. RNAcentral's name for it is "bacterial SSU rRNA". It matches the Rfam family "Bacterial small subunit ribosomal RNA", at positions 29 to 424 of the family's 1533-position model. The record is from RNAcentral.